Molecule: ribosomal RNA, 595 nt
Filed under: uncultured bacterium
Lineage: Bacteria
Description: bacterial SSU rRNA
Rfam family: Bacterial small subunit ribosomal RNA
Source: RNAcentral
AGAGUUUGAUCCUGGCUCAGAGCGAACGCUGGCGGCAGGCCUAACACAUGCAAGUCGAGCGGCCGUAGCAAUACGGCAGCGGCAGACGGGAGAGUAACACGUGGGAACGCGCCCUUCGGUUCGGAAUAACUCAGGGAAACUUGGGCUAAUACCGGAUACGCCCUUACGGGGAAAGAUUUAUUGCCGAAGGAACGGCCCGCGUCCGAUUAGCUUGUUGGUGAGGUAACGGCUCACCAAGGCGACGAUCGGUAGCUGGUCUGAGAGGAUGACCAGCCUCACUGGGACUGAGACACGGCCCAGACUCCUACGGGAGGCAGCAGUGGGGAAUAUUGGACAAUGGGCGCAAGCCUGAUCCAGCCAUGCCGCGUGGGUGAUGAAGGCCCUAGGGUUGUAAAGCCCUUUCGGCGGGGAAGAUAAUGACGGUACCCGCAGAAGAAGCCCCGGCUAACUUCGUGCCAGCAGCCGCGGUAAUACGAAGGGGGCUAGCGUUGCUCGGAAUUACUGGGCGUAAAGCGCACGUAGGCGGCUUCUUAAGUCGGUGGUGAAAUCCUGGAGCUUAACUCCAGAACUGCCUUCGAUACUGGGGAGCUCGAGU